Molecule: long non-coding RNA, 1129 nt
Filed under: Felis catus (domestic cat)
Lineage: Eukaryota; Metazoa; Chordata; Mammalia; Carnivora; Felidae
Description: lncRNA (ENSFCAG00000044210.2)
Source: RNAcentral
CCUACUUCGGCUCAGGUCAUGAUCUCGUGGUUCGUGGGUUCGAGUCCCACGUCGGGCUCUGUGCUGACAGCUCAGCUCUGUGCUUCGGAUUCUGUGUCUCCCUCUCUCUCUGCCCCUCCCCCUCUCGGGCUCUGUCUCUCUCUCGAAAAUUAAUGAAGCACAAUUUUUUUUAUUAUUAUUAAAAAGAAACGGAGAGAAAGAAGUGUGCAUCAGAGGGAACCACGCAGCGAAAAAUGGCGAAAACGUACUGAGUAUUCAGUGGAUUCGACACUGAGUAUUAACCCACUGCAGACACCAUGUGAAUGGUACCCCCCGGUCCUCAGGACAAACCCAGGGAGAAAAUUCUAGAGCUACAAAAACUGCAUCUUGGGGCGCCUGGGUGGCUCAGUCGGUUGAGCGUCCGACUUCGGCUCAGGUCACGAUCUCAUGGUUCGUGAGUUCGAGCCCCGCGUCGGGCUCUGGGCUGAUGGCUCAGAGCCUGGAUCCUGCUUCCGAUCCUGUGUCUCCCUCUCUCUCUGCCCUUCCCCCAUUCAUGCUCUGUCUCUCUCUGUCUCAAAAAUAAAUAAACAUUAAAAAAAAAAAAACUGCACCUUGGGAAGGCUGACGAUCUACCAAGGUCCCUCAGGAAGCAAGUGCAGAAAAUAUGUUGAGUUCGCGUCUUCCUGCCCCUAAAAUCAGUGUUCUCAACCCCCGUGGCAUUCUGCUGGCAGAAGUUUCUCCGUUCAAGAGGCUUUCUGAUGGUGCCUUAGAAGGAUCCAGAGGAACCAUGGACCCUCAGCGCGAUGCAGUGAAGUCCUCUUUGGGGUUUAUGGGAUCACACCAGCCCACUGCUGUCCACCAACCCAUCAUGGAGGUUGAAUGCUGCACAACAACCCGAAAUCAGGAAAUCGGGUCCGGCCAGGACGUUUGACUCUCCUACGUGGCCCGCUCUAUGGACAAGGGGGUGUCAGGGCUUCCUGCAACUCUGGAGGGUUUUCCUCAUCUGCACCUUCCCGCAGGUGGUCGUGACUCAUCUGGAGUCGAAGUCAGAUGGUAAAAAGCUCCAUUAAAAAUAAUUGGCAGUGACUGGACGGGGCUGAAUGCUCAUUUUAAGUCUGGUCUUGGCAAAGAAUUUGGUAGGCAAAUAGGG